AACAUCUAAGUACCCCGAGGAAAAGAAAUCAACCGAGAUUCCGAAAGUAGCGGCGAGCGAAAUUGGACUAGCCCUUAAGCUUUACACGCGUUAGACGAACGGUCUGGAAAGUCCGACGAUACAGGGUGAUAGUCCCGUAGUUGACGACGUGUGUUCAGUGAAAUCGAGUAGGGCGGGACACGUGAUAUCCUGUCUGAAUAUGGGGGGACCAUCCUCCAAGGCUAAAUACUACUGACUGACCGAUAGUGAACCAGUACCGUGAGGGAAAGGCGAAAAGAACCCCUGUGAGGGGAGUGAAAUAGAACCUGAAACCGUGUACGUACAAGCAGUAGGAGCACCUUCGUGGUGUGACUGCGUACCUUUUGUAUAAUGGGUCAGCGACUUAUAUUCAGUGGCAAGGUUAACCAUCUAGGGGAGCCGUAGGGAAACCGAGUCUUAACUGGGCGUUCAGUCUCUGGAUAUAGACCCGAAACCAGGUGAUCUAGCCAUGGGCAGGUUGAAGGUUGAGUAACAUCAACUGGAGGACCGAACCGACUAAUGUUGAAAAAUUAGCGGAUGACUUGUGGCUAGGGGUGAAAGGCCAAUCAAACCUGGAGAUAGCUGGUUCUCCCCGAAAGCUAUUUAGGUAGCGCCUCGGACGAAUACUACUGGGGGUAGAGCACUGUUAAGGCUAGGGGGUCAUCCCGACUUACCAACCCUUUGCAAACUCCGAAUACCAGUAAGUACUAUCCGGGAGACACACGGCGGGUGCUAACGUCCGUCGUGGAGAGGGAAACAACCCAGACCGCCAGCUAAGGUCCCAAAUUACUACUAAGUGGGAAACGAUGUGGGAAGGCUCAGACAGCCAGGAUGUUGGCUUAGAAGCAGCCAUCAUUUAAAGAAAGCGUAAUAGCUCACUGGUCGAGUCGGCCUGCGCGGAAGAUGUAACGGGGCUAAGUAGUAAACCGAAGCUGCGGCAAUAUACUUUUGUAUAUUGGGUAGGGGAGCGUUCUGUAAGCGGUUGAAGGUGUGUGGUAACGCAUGCUGGACGUAUCAGAAGUGCGAAUGCUGACAUGAGUAACGAUAAAGGGGGUGAAAAACCUCCUCGCCGGAAGACCAAGGGUUCCUGUCCAACGUUAAUCGGGGCAGGGUAAGUCGACCCCUAAGGCGAGGCCGAAAGGCGUAGUCGAUGGGAAACGGGUUAAUAUUCCCGUACUUCUUACAAUUGCGAUGGGGGGACGGAGAAGGCUAGGUGGGCCUGGCGACGGUUGUCCAGGUUCAAGUGCGUAGGCUUAAGAGUUAGGUAAAUCCGGCUCUUUUUAA
RNAcentral lists this ribosomal RNA (1302 nucleotides) under Vibrio parahaemolyticus. Its description in RNAcentral is "partial 23S ribosomal RNA". It matches the Rfam family "Bacterial large subunit ribosomal RNA", at positions 197 to 1555 of the family's 2925-position model. The record is from RNAcentral. Lineage: Bacteria; Pseudomonadati; Pseudomonadota; Gammaproteobacteria; Vibrionales; Vibrionaceae.